This 78-nucleotide microRNA precursor is filed under the name Schistosoma mansoni. RNAcentral's name for it is "mir-3492 microRNA precursor family". It matches the Rfam family "mir-3492 microRNA precursor family". Lineage: Eukaryota; Metazoa; Platyhelminthes; Trematoda; Strigeidida; Schistosomatidae. The record is from Rfam by way of RNAcentral.
AGCCUUUUGAAUCCAUGCAGAGAUUUCGUCAGACACCAACCCAUUAGGACUGAUUGGAUUUUCAAGGUAACUGAAGUU